Molecule: long non-coding RNA, 3157 nt
Organism: Mauremys reevesii (Reeves's turtle)
Lineage: Eukaryota; Metazoa; Chordata; Testudines; Geoemydidae
Exons: 3
Source: RefSeq, a predicted model, not a curated record
ACUGAGAGACGUGAGGAUGGUGUUCCUGGUGGGCUGAAGGGACUGUAGUACCUUGGACCGAGCGGUUGCUGGCAGGGACCAGGAAGGCAAGAGGGAGCUCCUGGCUGGCUGUUGCGACUUGGUAGCUCUAAGCCCCAAGACAAGGUGAAUAAGGUGAAGGGCUGUGGAGAAGUGGCCCAAGGAAUCAUAGCAGCAUAGUGUGGACAGUUCAAAGGGAUACAGCAGGCUAGUGCUAUUCAGAAGAUUCUUGGGCUGGAAGCCAGAAUAGUGGGUGGGCCUGGUUCUUCCUCCCCGCACCUGCCACAGGUGGAGUGGCCUUAAUCCCAGAGAGGUGAAUUGAACCAAGCCCUGGGGAGGGGAGAGACACACCCCAAAGAAGGUCAAUGAUAUUGAACUGUCUGGAUUUUGAUACACUCCCGGAAGGAGACCUGAACUGUUUAGUGGCUCAGCUGGAGAGCUCAGCCCAGAAAGGGUGAAGACAUCGUCUCCAAGGAGGGAAGCCUGGAGGUCUGGCUCAAUACUGGGGCCGGGACUGUUUAAAGACCUGAGCCCAGGGACAGGGUUACAGUUAAAGAUGGUGUUGAGGGCACCAGAAGGACCCUGUUGGGCUGAUACUGCAGAAUGGGUCUGCUUUGUAUAUUUUUCACACAGACUGUAUGUUACUUGGCUGGAGGACUGCAUCACUGAAACCGCCUGAAAAAACACCGACUGGGGUCACCACAGGCUGAGAGAGGAACAGACGUGCACCCGGCCAGGGGGUGCUCUCAAGAGGUUUCAGGAUCACCCUCCCAUGUGGCCAGUAAGACAGAAAAAGGCAGUCAUGAUCCUCUACUGGCUUGUCUGAAAUUCCUAGGUUGAGAACCUAGGCCUAGGAUGUGUGAACAGAGUGUGGUUGUUACCUGCGAGAAGUCUACUCAUUCCAGUAUGAGAAUCAGAGAGAGAUCAUCCAACCCCUGUCAUGUGUAGCAAAGUUGUCUUCAAUGAAGUUUCACUACUACUUCCUUUAGACAUGAGGGCACGUUCUUAUUCCAAAGAAGACUCUAGUAUGCCAUCACCUCCCAACCAUUGAAAAGAAUUUUUUUCAUGCAAGGAUCCAUGGCCAGCAGCAAUAUUUAACAGUUUUGAACUGGGAGCAAAGCUAAAACUACCCUACCGGGCCACAACAUAAGGUAUAACACUAAGUUCUGGUGAGUAACUGAAUGAUGUCCCGUAUGUUCAAAAUUGUGUCUUAAAAGAAAAAACAAUUUAGAAAUUAGUCACAGCUAUUGAAUCAGGUUGUCUCUGACAAUUGUUGACGGUCCAGAUUAAUAGGACUGUCCAGUAUCUGUCCUUCAGAGAUGUAGACAAUUAUUCAAGGGCAUUUUCUUCCUGGUCAAAUGCACAUGUUGAAGACAUGGUAGCAACCUUGCAGCAACAGAAGUGAUUCUGCAGAUUAAGAUUAUUUUGCAAAACAAAUCACUGCUUUUCUCUAACAAGCCAGAUUUGGUCAAGAAUGGACUGGCCUCAGGGUGUUACUAGUGUAAAUGUAAUUAUGAACUUUCACUGCUCUGGUAGCAUCUUGAUAAAGAAUGUGCAAAGGUAAGAUGCCUUUAGCACCUUACUUGAUCUCAUAGGAUUUGCUAGGUUCUUUGGAUGUGUACGUACUCCUCCCACAUCAGAAGACUUGAGCACAUAACCCAAAUGUUGCAGAAUACGAUGCUCUGAUAGCAGAACUUUCCUAGAAGCAAUCAAGUCCAAUGGAAAAAUCAAGGCUGUCAGUACUGUUUUUGUGCGGAGUUACAAUAGCGUUCUGGAUUCGCUCCAGUGCAUCCAUAAGCUAGCAAUGUCUGUUAGUAAAUGGAUAUGAUCUUUGUACAUAUUAGCCAUAUAAAAAUAUCCUCAAAUUAUACAUGUUUUGAGAUUCAGAUAUCAUGAAUAGCAUAGACUUAUAUAAUUCCUGGAGGAAUUUCCCCAGACACAUAUGAUGAUCAGUACCAUACGUUCAGAGAAUUCUAAAACUAGUUCUGCCUGCAUAUAAAACCAAAUGCUCACACUAUAGUACAUUGUCUUUAAACGUUGUGGUCUAGACACAGGACUGGAUCUAAAACCCUUGGCUGCUUCAUUAUCCCCAAUCUCAGUCACUAUAUUACCAAAAAAAAGUAUGUACUAGGCAGUAGGAACAAGAUCUCUCAUAAGUCUGGCACAUCAUAAACCCAAAUAGUUGCCUGUGUUCAUACCUAUGUAGUCCAAUUGUGUUAUGUUACAGUUUCUCUCUGUUUUUGCAUCAGAUAUAAAAGCUUUGAAUUUUAUGAAUGCUGCCAGUAUUCAGUCUAUGGACAAUGAGUAGUUACGCUUAUUUGGUGGAUUUUUCCAUUAUGAAAAUGUGAAUAAUAUGAAUAGAAAGAUAUUUAAAUUGAAUAUAGGAGCUAUGUCAAACUCAUUCCUAUUUGAGAUGAAACCUCAUUUCUUUUCCAGCCUUAUCUUAUUGCCAUUGCUGAAGAUGAUCCCUCUUCUAAAAUACUUGAAUGAUAGCUCUGUUCUUCUUUUAACAUCUUCAUUGACAAGCCUUCAUAUACAAAAAUGCUGAUACUCUUGCAGACUUCUGAGCCAUUUUCCUUCCCUUUAGUGUACAGUUUUUGCAUUAUGUAGGCUUGUUCUCUUCACUAUGUAACCUUUUUGUUUUUACUUGGUAAUAUGAUUGUUUUUAAAUUGUCUAGCAUUAUGAGGUUCUUUAGCUCCAUUUAAGUGACAGUGUGUCCUACCAUCACAUUCUUCAUUUUUCUCAGUGAUUAAAUGUAUAAUUUAUUUUAAACAAGGUAAGGAUUCUAACUCUGAUGUGAGGAAAUGUAGUUAAAGCUGCUGCUUCAUUCUCAAAUCACCCUGUGGUGUGUAGGCACUCUAUUAAGAAAGCCACAGAACAGCAGGUAACCUUUUAUCUUAUGUUUCUGCAAUGUACAUACCAUAUGUGCUACACAGUCCACUGCAUACGCUAUGUAAGAUCACCCACUGUUCUAGAAGCCCUGCUGUACUGAGGUACAACCAGGUGAGCUAAGUGUGGCUUAGCGGCCUGACUCAAAUAUAUUUGUAAUUCUGAACUCUAUAUUUCUCAAUCUGGGAUGUUAAAACAACUUCUUUUUCUUAGAGCACUUCCAUUCUCCAUUUUAAAUGACUUGUUUCU